RNAcentral lists this ribosomal RNA (655 nucleotides) under Salmonella enterica subsp. enterica serovar Enteritidis. RNAcentral describes it as "partial 23S ribosomal RNA". It matches the Rfam family "Bacterial large subunit ribosomal RNA", at positions 2286 to 2925 of the family's 2925-position model. Lineage: Bacteria; Pseudomonadati; Pseudomonadota; Gammaproteobacteria; Enterobacterales; Enterobacteriaceae. The record is from RNAcentral.
CCUCCUAAAGAGUAACGGAGGAGCACGAAGGUUGGCUAAUCCUGGUCGGACAUCAGGAGGUUAGUGCAAUGGCAUAAGCCAGCUUGACUGCGAGCGUGACGGCGCGAGCAGGUGCGAAAGCAGGUCAUAGUGAUCCGGUGGUUCUGAAUGGAAGGGCCAUCGCUCAACGGAUAAAAGGUACUCCGGGGAUAACAGGCUGAUACCGCCCAAGAGUUCAUAUCGACGGCGGUGUUUGGCACCUCGAUGUCGGCUCAUCACAUCCUGGGGCUGAAGUAGGUCCCAAGGGUAUGGCUGUUCGCCAUUUAAAGUGGUACGCGAGCUGGGUUUAGAACGUCGUGAGACAGUUCGGUCCCUAUCUGCCGUGGGCGCUGGAGAACUGAGGGGGGCUGCUCCUAGUACGAGAGGACCGGAGUGGACGCAUCACUGGUGUUCGGGUUGUCAUGCCAAUGGCACUGCCCGGUAGCUAAAUGCGGAAGAGAUAAGUGCUGAAAGCAUCUAAGCACGAAACUUGCCCCGAGAUGAGUUCUCCCUGAGACUUAGAGUCUCCUGAAGGAACGUUGAAGACGACGACGUUGAUAGGCCGGGUGUGUAAGCGCAGCGAUGCGUUGAGCUAACCGGUACUAAUGAACCGUGAGGCUUAACCUUACAACGCCGA